This 429-nucleotide ribosomal RNA is filed under the name uncultured bacterium. RNAcentral describes it as "bacterial SSU rRNA". It matches the Rfam family "Bacterial small subunit ribosomal RNA", at positions 954 to 1378 of the family's 1533-position model. The record is from RNAcentral.
GCAAAACGCGAAGAACCUUACCAAGGCUUGACAUACACCGGAAACAUCCAGAGAUGGGUGCCCCCUUGUGGUCGGUGUACAGGUGGUGCAUGGCUGUCGUCAGCUCGUGUCGUGAGAUGUUGGGUUAAGUCCCGCAACGAGCGCAACCCUUGUCCCGUGUUGCCAGCAGGCCCUUGUGGUGCUGGGGACUCACGGGAGACCGCCGGGGUCAACUCGGAGGAAGGUGGGGACGACGUCAAGUCAUCAUGCCCCUUAUGUCUUGGGCUGCACACGUGCUACAAUGGCCGGUACAAGAGCUGCGAUACCGUGAGGUGGAGCGAAUCUCAAAAAGCCGGUCUCAGUUCGGAUUGGGGUCUGCAACUCGACCCCAUGAAGUCGGAAUCGCUAGUAAUCGCGAAUCAGAAUGUCGCGGUGAAUACGUUCCCGGGU